GGGCGCGUAGCUCAGCUGGUUAGAGCGCGUCACUCACAUUGACGAGGUCAGGGGUUCAAGUCCCUUCGCGCCCACCA
RNAcentral lists this transfer RNA (77 nucleotides) under Anaerolineaceae bacterium. RNAcentral's name for it is "tRNA-Val". It matches the Rfam family "tRNA". From Rfam's summary of the family: Transfer RNA (tRNA) molecules are approximately 80 nucleotides in length. Lineage: Bacteria; Bacillati; Chloroflexota; Anaerolineae; Anaerolineales; Anaerolineaceae. RNAcentral also lists the same sequence under 2 other names. The record is from RNAcentral.